UACGUAGGUGGCAAGCGUUGUCCGGAAUUAUUGGGCGUAAAGCGCGCGCAGGCGGUCCUUUAAGUCUGAUGUGAGAGCCCACGGCUCAACCGUGGAGGGUCAUUGGAAACUGGGGGACUUGAGUGCAGAAGAGAAGAGUGGAAUUCCACGUGUAGCGGUGAAAUGCGUAGAGAUGUGGAGGAACACCAGUGGCGAAGGCGACUCUUUGGUCUGUAACUGACGCUGAGGCGCGAAAGCGUGGGGAGCAAACAGG
RNAcentral lists this ribosomal RNA (253 nucleotides) under uncultured bacterium. Its description in RNAcentral is "partial 16S ribosomal RNA". It matches the Rfam family "Bacterial small subunit ribosomal RNA", at positions 524 to 776 of the family's 1533-position model. The record is from RNAcentral.